CCGAAUGGCUUCGGCCUUCAACCUUCAAACCCGUGGAAGCAAUCCGUGCUUCGGCGCUCCGGCGCCGCAUUUAUGCAGAUAAGCAUUUGUGUCUGAACAUACAUGAGAAUUA
RNAcentral lists this unclassified non-coding RNA (112 nucleotides) under uncultured Ascomycota. RNAcentral's name for it is "sequence contains ITS1". Lineage: Eukaryota; Fungi; Ascomycota. The record is from RNAcentral.